RNAcentral lists this transfer RNA (74 nucleotides) under Daphnia galeata. It matches the Rfam family "tRNA". Rfam says of the family: Transfer RNA (tRNA) molecules are approximately 80 nucleotides in length. Their secondary structure includes four short double-helical elements and three loops (D, anti-codon, and T loops). Further hydrogen bonds mediate the characteristic L-shaped molecular structure. tRNAs have two regions of fundamental functional importance: the anti-codon, which is responsible for specific mRNA codon recognition, and the 3' end, to which the tRNAs corresponding amino acid is attached (by aminoacyl-tRNA synthetases). tRNAs cope with the degeneracy of the genetic code in two manners: having more than one tRNA (with a specific anti-codon) for a particular amino acid; and 'wobble' base-pairing, i.e. permitting non-standard base-pairing at the 3rd anti-codon position. The record is from Rfam by way of RNAcentral. Lineage: Eukaryota; Metazoa; Arthropoda; Branchiopoda; Diplostraca; Daphniidae.
GGCUUGUUAGCUCAGGUGGUAAGAGCGACGUGUUAGUAUCACGGAAGACAUGAGUUCGAUCCUCAUACAAGUCA